ACGCACGCUGGCGGCGUGCUUCACACCUGCAAGUCGAACGGAAAGACCCUGCUUUUGUGGGGUGCUCGAGUGGCGAACGGGUGAGUAACACGUGAGUAACCUGCCCUUGACUUUGGGAUAACUUCAGGAAACUGGGGCUAAUACCGGAUAGGAGCUCCUGCUGCAUGGUGGGGGUUGGAAAGUUUCGGCGGUUGGGGAUGGACUCGCGGCUUAUCAGCUUGUUGGUGGGGUAGUGGCUUACCAAGGCUUUGACGGGUAGCCGGCCUGAGAGGGUGACCGGCCACAUUGGGACUGAGAUACGGCCCAGACUCCUACGGGAGGCAGCAGUGGGGAAUAUUGCACAAUGGGCGGAAGCCUGAUGCAGCAACGCCGCGUGCGGGAUGACGGCCUUCGGGUUGUAAACCGCUUUCGCCUGUGACGAAGCGUGAGUGACGGUAAUGGGUAAAGAAGCACCGGCUAACUACGUG
Molecule: ribosomal RNA, 467 nt
Filed under: uncultured bacterium
Lineage: Bacteria
Description: partial 16S ribosomal RNA
Rfam family: Bacterial small subunit ribosomal RNA
Source: RNAcentral